AUUGAACGCUGGCGGCAGGCCUAGCACAUGCAAGUCGAACGGUAACAGGAAACAGCUUGCUGUUUCGCUGACGAGUGGCGGACGGGUGAGUAAUGUCUGGGAAACUGCCUGAUGGAGGGGGAUAACUACUGGAAACGGUAGCUAAUACCGCAUAACGUCGCAAGACCAAAGAGGGGGACCUUCGGGCCUCUUGCCAUCGGAUGUGCCCAGAUGGGAUUAGCUAGUAGGUGGGGUAACGGCUCACCUAGGCGACGAUCCCUAGCUGGUCUGAGAGGAUGACCAGCCACACUGGAACUGAGACACGGUCCAGACCCCUACGGGAGGCAGCAGUGGGGAAUAUUGCACAAUGGGCGCAAGCCUGAUGCAGCCAUGCCGCGUGUAUGAAGAAGGCCUUCGGGUUGUAAAGUACUUUCAGCGGGGAGGAAGGGAGUAAAGUUAAUACCUUUGCUCAUUGACGUUACCCGCAGAAGAAGCACCGGCUAACUCCGUGCCAGCAGCCGCCGUAA
This 506-nucleotide ribosomal RNA is filed under the name uncultured bacterium. Its description in RNAcentral is "partial 16S ribosomal RNA". It matches the Rfam family "Bacterial small subunit ribosomal RNA", at positions 30 to 523 of the family's 1533-position model. The record is from RNAcentral.